RNAcentral lists this ribosomal RNA (291 nucleotides) under uncultured bacterium. Its description in RNAcentral is "partial 16S ribosomal RNA". It matches the Rfam family "Bacterial small subunit ribosomal RNA", at positions 48 to 334 of the family's 1533-position model. The record is from RNAcentral.
GUGCUUACACAUGCAAGUCGACGCGCAGUCUGUAGCAUACAGGCGGGCGCGUGGCGAACGGGUGCGUAACACGUGGAUAACCUUCCUUCAGGUGGGGAAUAACCCAGUGAAAAUUGGGCUAAUACCGCAUAACAAGACGAUGGCACAUGCCGUUGUCUUCAAAGGCGCAAGUCGCCAGAAGAGGGAUCCGCGGCCGAUUAGCUUGUUGGCGGGGUAAUGGCCCACCAAGGCAAUGAUCGGUAGCCGGACUGAGAGGUUGGCCGGCCACACUGGAACUGAGACACGGUCCAG